AGUGAACGCUGGCGGUAGGCCUAACACAUGCAAGUCGAACGGCAGCACAGUAAGAGCUUGCUCUUACGGGUGGCGAGUGGCGGACGGGUGAGGAAUACAUCGGAAUCUACUUUUUCGUGGGGGAUAACGUAGGGAAACUUACGCUAAUACCGCAUACGACCUACGGGUGAAAGCAGGGGAUCUUCGGACCUUGCGCGAUUGAAUGAGCCGAUGUCGGAUUAGCUAGUUGGCGGGGUAAAGGCCCACCAAGGCGACGAUCCGUAGCUGGUCUGAUAGGAUGAUCAGCCACACUGGAACUGAGACACGGUCCAGACUCCUACGGGAGGCAGCAGUGGGGAAUAUUGGACAAUGGGCGCAAGCCUGAUCCAGCCAUACCGCGUGGGUGAAGAAGGCCUUCGGGUUGUAAAGCCCUUUUGUUGGGAAAGAAAAGCAGCAGGUUAAUACCCCGCUGUUCUGACGGUACCCAAAGAAUAAGCACCGGCUAACUUCGU
Molecule: ribosomal RNA, 491 nt
Filed under: uncultured bacterium
Lineage: Bacteria
Description: partial 16S ribosomal RNA
Rfam family: Bacterial small subunit ribosomal RNA
Source: RNAcentral